UGAUACAUGCAGUCUUACUCUGUUGCCCAGGCUGGAGUACUAUGGCACCAUCAUAACUCCCAGCGGCUUUGAACUCCUGGGCUCAAGCGAUCCUCCUGAGUAGCUGGAACCACAGCUGCAUGCCACCACCCCUGACUUUGAUUUAUUUCUGCUGGCCCAUUUCUCUGCCUCACAAUGGUAGAGAAAUGCCUGAGUCACAGAUAGGCUAGGUGACCAGGGAAGCUUGGAAGAAACCCCACAGGCCACCCAAGCUCCCAGGCUACCAUUUGGAGAUCGUUGCUUCGGAGGAAUCCCGGGUCAGGCUGCUGGAAUCUGGACUCACACUUCCGAAACCUCAGUGUUCUGAUCGAUGCUUUACAAGCUGGCUUUGCCCACCUCUCCCAUGGAACACCCUUCCUCCACUGGUCUUUUGAAAUUAUUGCUGUUGGUCUGAUUUUGCUGCCUCUGCUACCAGACGAAUACUGAUGACAAGCUGAGAGGAAGGAGGAAAAAAAUCUCGUAAAAAAAGAGGAAUUUUUAGUCACAAAAAGGAAAUUAUGCCUGCUAAGUGAGACAAGAUGUGAAUUGGCCUUAAAAAGGAGCAGACAUGAAUGUUAAGUGGCAGCUUUGUGCUGAAGGUGGGCAGGCGGCCUUGAGUGGCUGAAGAGGAAGACCGGGGGUGUGGAGGCGGUGGAUCCUUCUAGAACCUUCUAGAAAUUCUGUCCCUUUUAACUUUUUUUUGUCUCGCUCUGUCGCCCAGGCUGGAGUGCAAUGGUGCCAUCUCGGCUCACUGCAACCUCUCCCUCCUGGGUUCAAGCGAUUCUCCUGCCUCAGCCUUCUGAGUAGCUGGGAUUACAGGUGCCUGCCUACAUGGCCGACUAAUUUUUGUAUUUUUAGUAGAGAUGGGGUUUCACCAUGUUGGCCAGGCUAGUCUCGAACUCCUGACUCCAUUUUUUUGAGACUCCAUCUCAAAAAAAACAAAAAACAAAAAAAAAACCCCAAAGUCUGGGACCUUCCCCUUCUCUCUCACUUGCUCCCACUCUCGCCAUGGAACCCUCUGGCUCCCUGUUGCCUUCUGCCAUGAUUGGAAGCUUCCCAAGGCCCCCCAAGAAGCAGAUACUCCUGACAUGCUUCCUGUACAGCCUGCAGAAUCAUAAGCCCAUUAAACUGCUU
RNAcentral lists this long non-coding RNA (1152 nucleotides) under Homo sapiens (human). RNAcentral describes it as "HSALNT0342200". Lineage: Eukaryota; Metazoa; Chordata; Mammalia; Primates; Hominidae. The record is from RNAcentral.